AGUGCUAAAAUCUCUUCAGUCCCUAACUGGCAGAUCUACCACCUGACUUCUGGAGAAAAGGAGCCAUGCCCAUGCCUUGAAACACACUUGGCUCUACGGUCACUAGGAAAUUGAUAUCUUGGGAGGUGCUCUACAGGAAUGGUCAGAGAGACUGACUGCCAAGAAGACGUUAAGAAUGACAGAGUGUGAGAAGCUGCGUAACGUCAGCCUUGGCACAGAGAGCUACACCAUCCGAGGCCAAAGUGUACCUCUAAGGGAGCCCCAGUGGUUGGACCAAGCUACCAGGUGGCCUCAGAGGACGGCAAGGGGGCUGAAGCCUGAGGAAUACCUCUUUCUUCCUGGCUGCCCAGAGCCCUGCCCUCAUGCUCACACCACAUUCCUGCAAGGAGACAUUGCCUUGGUCUGCUAGCCUGGACCCUCUCAGAGUUGGAAGGAUCUUUUAGAGAUAUAUGUCUUCGAUUAAUAGAAAAUGGCAAAACAAGUUCCUUACCAUGUUCCGAGAUUAAAAAUGUAAAACCUGGGAACCUUAAGGAAAAAAAUACAUAAAAGGAUACUUGGAGAUAUAAA
Pongo pygmaeus (Bornean orangutan) is the source of this 567-nucleotide long non-coding RNA. RefSeq lists it as uncharacterized. The transcript has 3 exons. Lineage: Eukaryota; Metazoa; Chordata; Mammalia; Primates; Hominidae. The record is from RefSeq and is a predicted model, not a curated record.